Homo sapiens (human) is the source of this 2173-nucleotide long non-coding RNA. RefSeq lists it as uncharacterized. Lineage: Eukaryota; Metazoa; Chordata; Mammalia; Primates; Hominidae. The transcript is spliced from 2 exons. The record is from RefSeq and is a predicted model, not a curated record.
UCAAGCAAUCCACCUGCCUCAGCCUCCCACAGUGUUGGGAUUACAGCUGUGAGCCACUGUGACCGGCUGGGCUAUUUCUUUUCUAUGCAAUAAAAAUUGUGUCAUGAAAUGACAGGGUCCGCAGUUGCAGUGCUUGAAGCCAUUGUUCUAAAAGAGAUAUAACUCCAAAUCGGAACACUUUGGAAUAUAAGAAUAGCUGGAGAAGAAGAUACAGAUAAUUAUGAAAAAGAAUACAGUUGAACAUUCAACUAUAAAAUGCACCUAACCCUGAGUAUGGCACAUGGCAGACAUUCAAGAAAUACUUUUCCACAAAUGAACAAAUGAAUGAAAUCUCAUGUGUCUAAAUUCUUUAUUGUGGGAACUGGCUCACUUCUGCUUCUACAAUGAAGAUUCAAUCACUGGCAUGGUAUAGGAGGAGGAGGACAGGUAAGAGACAUACUUUUAAUAUGGCCACCAAAAUGAAAGGGCCUCUGGAAUAGUACCUGAAUCUGGUCCAUGUAAAUGUCUUCAGUUGUCUGGGGAGGAGGAUUGGCAUUAUCUCCCUCUCACUUCAUCAGUGACUGCUAUCUCCAAUUUAUAUUGCUAUUCCCCUACCUUGCAUUCAGUAUUCAACACUUUGUACUUAGUUUUUCACUUCCACCCCAUUGACUAAAAUUUCAAAUGGUCCCCUUACUGAGAAAAAUUUCCGUGGAAUACUAGGAGCACAAAUCAUAAAAGGGAAAAAGCAUAAACAGAAAGUGCAGACAAUUCUUGGUAUCAAUGGCACUAGUGGAAAAGUUGGCUGUGAAUGUCCUGAGAUUGGAGGGAAAGAGGAAAGGAUGGAUGGGCAUGGUGGUAAGUUUGUAAAGGGAAGAAGGGAGGGCACAUUUGGGGCUGUUUAUGCCUGAUGACUUCAAAUUUCUCAAUGAAAUUGAAGCCAAUGUGGUUAGGGAAGUUGGGUUGAAAUAAAGGAGCAAGGGACUUAAGUAAGCUUGUAAGAAGAGUAGAAAAUAUUUAGUACGAAAUUGUUGGUUUUUGGUGGUUUGUUUUGUUCUGUUUUUUUAGAAAGACAGGGUCUCACUAUGUUGCUCAGGCUGAAGUACUGAGGCUAUUCCCAGGUGUGAUAAUAGCAUACUAACACCUUGAACUCCUGGGCCCAAGUGAUCCUCCUGCCUUAGCCUCCUGAGUAGCUGGAACUACAGGCAGAGUUGUUUUUUUUUUUGGUUGUUGUUGUUUUUUUUACAUAUCUACUACAUUUAACAUGGUCCCUCACUUUCUCCUUGAAACUCUAAAUACCCUCGAUAGUCAUAGCUUCAUACUCUCCUGGUUCACCUUUCACCAUUUAUUUUUUGCUGCAUUUCCCACACAAGAGCGUAUCUUCCUCUUUUUGUUCUUUAAACAUUAGUAUACAGAAGGAUUCUGUCCUUAGUAGUUACUGACAGUCUUACCUUUUCCUUUUUUUUGAGACAGGGUCUUACUCUGUCACCAAGGCUGAUGUGCGGCAGCAUAAUCAUGGCUCACUGCAGUCUCAACCUCCCAGGCUCAAGCAAUCCUCCUGCCUCAGCCUCCCGAGCAGCUAGGACUACAGAUGGGUAUCUCAAACUCCUGAGUUCAAGCGAUCCACACACCUUGGCCUCGCAAAGUGCUAAGAUUACAGGUGCAGUGAGCCAAUGCACCUGGCCCCCUUUCUUAUUUUUUUAACUACUUCUAGACUAGGCAUGCUGAAGACCUACCCAUUUCCCCGGGUUUAAGAACCAUAUAUCCAACUCUGCACAUAUUUCCACCUUGAGGUCCCUAUGGCAGUAAACCCACUAUACCUCAAACCAAACUCAUCAUCAUAUCACCCACACUUGUUCCUCCUCUGAUAUUCCCUAUUUCAUUUGGAAACACCAAAAACCAAGUAAUCCAAAUGAGAAACAUGAAUUAUCCUUAAUUCUUUCCUUAGCCGUUGUAUUCAACAAAUAAUCAAGUUUUACUAAUUUUAUAUUCUAAAUAUUCCUUGGGAGAAUAAUUAUAUUCUUUUCUGGGAGUAUAAGUUCCUAUUCUUGCUGGAGGAGGCAUUAAACAGUAAACACAAAAGCAUGCAAAUGAUAUGAUAUGUAAAUAUGUAUAAGUUAUAUAAAAUAUAUAAAUCAUAUAAUAAAACCUGAUAGGUAACAUGGAGAAAAUAAAAAGAGAACAUGUGUUGAAGAAA